GAACUGCUAAUUAAUAAAAUCAGGUGUGCCAAAUUAGGAAUGAAAUGAAAACCUACAGGACAGUAGGUCUCCAGGAUCAGGGCUGGGAACCACUGACCUGAAGAACCAUAUAGCAUUUCCAUCGUGUCAGCAUCUAUUCUGCAGGAUAUAGAACGAGCGUGCAUGCAGGGCUCUCCUCCAAAGCAUGUGAUGUCACUCGAUGCUUAUCAUACAGCAAUUCCGGAAACCUGGGUCGGAAGAAGACGUUUCAUGCGCUGCUCAGCAGGCGACCUUGCAGGUGCAAGGUAGACCAGCAGGGUCGCAAUGAUGGUGACCCAAACCUCCUACCCCAGCAGGGCUGCCAAACACAGCUGGCGUUGGGACGGUCAGGAUUCGAUAUCAGACCAUGGGGCUCAUCCACAUACUAGAACAGUGCCUUAAAGAGAUGCAGUAGUUCACUUCUUGGAGUUUUAAAAUAUUAUUUCAGUUUUGAUUGGCCCAAACAGUUUUUGUGUGUGAUGAAAGAUGUUACAUACUUGCAGAAGCGUCUGAUGACUAAAGCAAGAAAACACACUUAAAGAAAAUACAAAAACAGUUUGUACAGCAAUGUUAUGUAUGCAGAGGUUUGGCACCAGUUUACUCCUUAGUAUUAUGAAAAAUGAGAAUACACAAUUUAUUAUGUUUAAUUUGAUUUAAUAAAUUUGUCAUUUACAAAUACAGAUAACUCAAAAUAGUAUAAUUAUCAUAAGUUGUACAUGAGUGUAAAUAAAUUACAUGCAUUGACUCAUGCAUAGCUAUU
Long non-coding RNA from Anguilla rostrata (American eel), 778 nucleotides. RefSeq lists it as uncharacterized. Lineage: Eukaryota; Metazoa; Chordata; Actinopteri; Anguilliformes; Anguillidae. The transcript is spliced from 2 exons. The record is from RefSeq and is a predicted model, not a curated record.